Molecule: long non-coding RNA, 1068 nt
Organism: Micropterus dolomieu (smallmouth bass)
Lineage: Eukaryota; Metazoa; Chordata; Actinopteri; Centrarchiformes; Centrarchidae
Exons: 2
Source: RefSeq, a predicted model, not a curated record
GCAGGCAGGGAACAGAAAACCAAGGAAAAAGCAGAAAAACUGAGAAAAAGGAGAAAAAACCAGGACACUCACCGUCAGCCGGGCUGCCACCACAACACUUUCUAACAUAACCAUUAGGAUUUUCUUACCAAAUUAAUGUUUGGCUUUGCAGCAGCAUCGUGUCCCGCCAGGGUUUCACAAACUAGAACAGAAUGAAGUCACAAUAAGACAAAAGCAGGAAAAGCAACAGACACAUCGUGUUGAUUUUUCAGACAAAAUUGAUAAUCAGUUCAUGAGGAAGCACAAUACAACCCACAGGGACAAAUAAGAUAAACAGCACCAAGGGCAUUUAAACCAAUGAAUACAAUCACCAUUCUUGAAUUCAGAGCUGGCUGUUUUGAAAUGGCUAGAGCAACAGAUGCAGGUGUGGCAAUACAAGAGGUGGCAGGAGUUGGUACCUGAAGCACCAGUGAGAACAGCUGGAACAACCCGACAGGUAGAUAAUGAUGAUGAUGAUGAUGAUUACUUGAAUGUCACAAAAAAAAUUUUUACAGUAGCUUUGCGGAAUGAAAUCCACAAACACAGCUCUGUGUUCCCCCAGAGAUAUCUGCCCUUUGUGGUGGAGAGGACAUGUCUCAAUCUGCAAGAUAUCAAACAAGGCAGAUCCAUCUGUAGUACCACAUUCAUGUGAACAAGACAGAAUAAACAGUAUGCUGUAACUUGACUGAAAGGAACCAGAUUUACCUUCUGAUAAAGAUCAAAUGCCGUUUUUAUUUAGAGGCAAUCUUGAAGAAACCAUAACAAAGAAUGACUUAUAAGCUAACAAUUAUUAUUAAAGCAGCUAUAACUGAUAUUUUUAUAACAUUUAUGACUCAAAUGACAAUGUGAAAACAAUGUGACAAUGUGAACCUACAGGAAAUUAUCUCCCAAAUCUGCAGUUCCCUUCGGCUUCACUGAGCUUUCUAGUCAGUUUCUGCUCAUUGUUUGUUCUCACCACUCUCGAAGUGUAAAUCAGCUAUUGCAGUUUUGAGUUUUUUCAUACAUAGUCAACAUUUAAACAUUAAUUGACAAUAAAGUGACAGACACUAA